ACGAAAUUGAGGUACGCAGAAGAUGAACAAACCUGAGAAUUGAUGAUCGAAUGAAGAGUCGGAGCUCGAGCAUCACAUAGUCGUCAGCUAUGGUGGCUUGUGGGCGGAUGUUUCUCAGACCUAAGUUGUUGCCGCUGGACCGUGGUUACAUUCAUCCUAGCUUGGAGGAAACGGUGUGGGUGGGUAUGCAUGUGCAGGGCGAAGAAGUGGACGAAGGCCGAAGAAGCAAUCUCUGCCUCCCUAUUGCUGCGUCCUGCUCCUCAAUAUGUCACCUUAGUCAUGGCCGCCUUAUCCCUCAUGCUGCUGAUUUGAAUCUGCCCUACUCUUCUUCUCCUAGACUGCUCGAGCGCUUCAGCGGGUGCCUUGCCGACGACAGGGAAGGAAGGACCAGAGUAAGUAUAAUAUGGAAGUUCCUGUUCAAAUUAGUAGAAUAUGCUUACCAGGGGUUAGAAUUUAUAGAUAUAUACCACAAUUUUCACUACAGAUUAAAUAUAAUAUGAAAGUUCUUGUCAGUUUUCUUUGUAGUUAGUUUGCGACAAUCACAACAUGAUCAUUUGAAUAUUUUGUUGUAACAAAUCUAUUAUAGCUAUUGUUGUGAAAGAAAAAUCCUUAAAAAAUCACCCAAUAGCAACCCGAGGAAGUUAAGAGACAUAAAUGAUCCAGAUAUGGUUCCAUUAUGCUCCCUCUGUUCGAUAAUAUAUGACGUUUUCUGGCAGUACACAAUGCCAAAAACGUCUUAUAUUAUGGGACAGAAGCGAGUUUGUGAUUCUUUUGGUUAUUCUUGAUUCCACAUGCUUCAUUUGGGUGAAUAAUCCAUUGGCAUCCAAAUUUGGAGAUUAAUUCACCUAUGUAAUGUGCAUAAUCAAUGACACAUUUUUGCUAUGAUGAAUAUGUAAAUAAAUUUUGUACAAUUCCAUAAAUACACAGUUAAGCCAUUUUGUUGUAAAGAUAAUGUAGAUAAUUUUUUAUAGCUUUGCAAAUAAGAUUAACCUUGGUGUAUAAAUCCGAUCAGAGUAGAGGUAGCUAUGCAAUGGUCUUGCGUCACAUCAUUAGUCUAAGGCUCUAACCACAUUCAUGGAGAAUCUAACAUCUCAACUACGCAUAUCUGUUUGUUCCAGAAGCCACGAAAUUGAGGUAUGUAGAAGAUAAACAAACCUGAGAAUUGAUGAUCGAAUGAAGAGUCGGAGCUCGAGCAUCACAUAGCCGUCAGCUAUGGUGGCCUGUGGGCGGAUGUUUCUCAGACCUAAGUUGUUGCCGCUGGACCGUGGCUACAUUCAUCCUAGCUUGGAGGAAAUGGUGCGGGAAGAUAUGCAUGUGCAGGGCGAAGAAGUGGACGAAGGCCGAAGUAGCAAUCUCUGCCUCCCUAUCGCUGCGUCCUGCUCCUCAAUAUGUCACCUUAGUCAUGGCCGCCUUAUCCCUCAUGCUGCUGAUUUGAAUCUGCCCUACUCUUCUUCUCCUAGACUGCUCGAGCGCUUCAGCGGGUGCCUUGCCGACGACAGGGAAGGAAGGACCAGAGUAAGUAUAAUAUGGAAGUUCCUGUUCAAAUUAGUAGAAUAUGCUUACCAGGGGUUAGAAUUUAUAGAUAUAUACCACAAUUGUCACUACAGAUUAAAUAUAAUGUGAAACUUCUUGUCAGUUUUCUUUGUAGUUAGUUUGCGACAAUCAAAACAUGAUCAUUUGAAUAUUUUGUUAUAACAAAUCUAUUAUAGCUAUUGUUGUGAAAGAAAAAUCCUUAAAAAAUCACCCAAUAGCAACCCGAGGAAGUUAAGAGACAUAAAUGAUCCAGAUAUGGUUCCAUUAUGCUCCCUCUGUUCGAUAAUAUAUGACGUUUUCUGGCAGUACACAAUGCCAAAAACAUCUUAUAUUAUGGGAGAGAAGCGAGUUUGUGAUUCUUUUGGUUAUUCUUGAUUCCACAUGCUUCAUUUGGGUGAAUAAUCCAUUGGCAUCCAAAUUUGGAGAUUAAUUCACCUAUGUAAUGUGCAUAAUCAAUGACACAUUUUUGCUAUGAUGAAUAUGUAAAUAAAUUUUGUACAAUUCCAUAAAUACACAGUUAAGCAUUUUUGUUGUAAAGAUAAUGUAGAUAAUUUUUUAUAGCUUUGCAAAUAAGAUUAACCUUGGUGUAUAAAUCCGAUCAGAGUAGAGGUAGCUAUGCAAUGGUCUUGCGUCACAUCAUUAGUCUAAGGCUCUAACCACAUUCAUGGAGAAUCUAACAUCCCAACUACGCAUAUCUGUUUGUUCCAGAAGCCACGAAAUUGAGGUACGCAGAAGAUGAACUAACCUGAGAACUGAUGAACCAAAGAAGAGUCGGAGGUCGAGCAUCACAUAGCUGUCAGCUAUGGUGGCUUGUAGGCGGAUGUGUCUCACACCUAAGUUUUUGCCGCUGGACCGUGGUUACAUUCAUCCUAGCUUGGAGGCAACGGUGUGGGUGGGUAUGCAUGUGCAAGGCGAAGAAGUGGACGAAGG
Molecule: long non-coding RNA, 2463 nt
Filed under: Triticum aestivum (bread wheat)
Lineage: Eukaryota; Viridiplantae; Streptophyta; Magnoliopsida; Poales; Poaceae
Description: long non-coding RNA (TAES_LNC014747)
Source: RNAcentral